AGGCGGCACUAAGACUCUGAUGAACACCAUCAUGCAGCUGAGGAAGAUCUGUAAUCAUCCGUACAUGUUCCAGCAGAUCGAGGAGUCGUUUUCUGAGCAUCUGGGUUUCUCAGGAGGAAUCGUUCAGGGGCUUGAUUUAUUCCGCGCCUCGGGAAAGUUUG
This is a long non-coding RNA of Sinocyclocheilus anshuiensis, 161 nucleotides long. RefSeq lists it as uncharacterized. The record is from RefSeq and is a predicted model, not a curated record. Lineage: Eukaryota; Metazoa; Chordata; Actinopteri; Cypriniformes; Cyprinidae. The transcript is spliced from 3 exons.